GGGGCGAAAAGAGGACGAGAGGAGGCUACAGGAGGCAGAGGAAGCUCCAUCGUCAGGGAGCGAGACACUGCGCAGCAUCCGCACCCGGGAAUGAGGGCGCCUUCUCGGUCACAGAGCGCGUCCUCCUCGGUUCCCUCCUUGCGGGUCUGGGACUCCACGAGACGGAUACAAAGAGCGGGAGCGACCUGGAGCUUCCGUCCACGGGCCACUAAGUGCUUGUGGUCGCACGUAUCGAUCCAAUCACCUGCUUGUCACACCUGGAACCGGAAGGAUGCUCUCUCUCUCAACGAGCACAUGAGGUGGGUGUGGAAAGAAGAGCAUGCGGCAGAUGGACAUCUUGUACGGGUGCAUGCAUGUAAAAAGGAGCACCACACUUGUGUGCUGUGGCAAAGAAGAACAGAGCCUGUUCCUGUCUUUGGUUAUCUAGCUGUAUGAGUGUUAAACAUCCAUCAUAAAGCUAGAUAACCGAAAGUAGGAAUAACCUUCAAACCUUCGGAAGACAAGAAGGCAGAAGAAAGACGAGAGAAUGUGCUCGGGCUUCAUCAGGAAAAGAAGCAACAGAUUCCACCAUGUUGCAGACCAUCAUCCAACUGUCGAUCAAUGCAAAUUUAAUUUAAACACAUUCCAAAUGUCACGGCUAUGAACUUAGAGCACAAGUGACUGCAAUGUUCAGACUUCACCUAUAAAUGAAUGAAACACCCAAAUGGAAGAAAAUAGGACAUCUCAACUGAGUCAUGUUUGAAUGUUCAUCAUUUCAUUGUCAAUGUAUGAGAAGAGAAUUCCUGUAAAUAUUCUUAUAUUUUCAAUUAUUCUAUGGCUUGCAUUCCUUAUAUCAUAUUAUAUUGGCAGUGGAAUUAAUAUUUACAAGAAUUUAUAUAAUAAAUUUCUGAAAAUAUUUGUAUUAAAAUGUUGUCACAUUAAGUUGUACACUCAUCAAUAA
Hippocampus zosterae (dwarf seahorse) is the source of this 940-nucleotide long non-coding RNA. RefSeq lists it as uncharacterized. The transcript is spliced from 3 exons. NCBI's taxonomy places the organism in Eukaryota, Metazoa, Chordata, Actinopteri, Syngnathiformes, Syngnathidae. The record is from RefSeq and is a predicted model, not a curated record.